This 228-nucleotide ribosomal RNA is filed under the name uncultured bacterium. RNAcentral's name for it is "partial 16S ribosomal RNA". It matches the Rfam family "Bacterial small subunit ribosomal RNA", at positions 88 to 334 of the family's 1533-position model. The record is from RNAcentral.
UAACUUAGUGGCGGACGGGUGAGUAACGCGUGAGAAUCUGCCUUCAGGACGGAGACAACAGUUGGAAACGACUGCUAAGCCCCGAUGAACCGAAAGGGAAAAUAUUUAUAGCCUGAAGAUGAGCUCGCGUCCGAUUAGCUAGUUGGGGGGGUAAAGGCCCACCAAGGCGACGAUCGGUAGCUGGUCUGAGAGGACGAUCAGCCACACUGGGACUGAGACACGGCCCAG